AUUGAACGCUGGCGGCAGGCCUAACACAUGCAAGUCGAGCGGAUGAAGGGAGCUUGCUCCUGGAUUCAGCGGCGGACGGGUGAGUAAUGCCUAGGAAUCUGCCUGGUAGUGGGGGAUAACGUCCGGAAACGGGCGCUAAUACCGCAUACGUCCUGAGGGAGAAAGGGGGGGAUCUUCGGACCUCACGCUAUCAGAUGAGCCUAGGUCGGAUUAGCUAGUUGGUGGGGUAAAGGCCUACCAAGGCGACGAUCCGUAACUGGUCUGAGAGGAUGAUCAGUCACACUGGAACUGAGACACGGUCCAGACUCCUACGGGAGGCCGCAGUGGGGAAUAUUGGACAAUGGGCGAAAGCCUGAUCCCGCCAUGCCGCGUGUGUGAAGAAGGUCUUCGGAUUGUAAAGCACUUUAAGUUGGGAGGAAGGGCAGUAAGUUAAUACCUUGCUGUUUUGACGUUACCAACAGAAUAAGCACCGGCUAACUUCGUG
RNAcentral lists this ribosomal RNA (484 nucleotides) under uncultured bacterium. RNAcentral's name for it is "partial 16S ribosomal RNA". It matches the Rfam family "Bacterial small subunit ribosomal RNA", at positions 30 to 507 of the family's 1533-position model. The record is from RNAcentral.